AGGAUGAACGCUGGCGGCGUGCUUAACACAUGCAAGUCGAACGAUGAAGCCGGAGCUUGCUCUGGUGGAUUAGUGGCGAACGGGUGAGUAACACGUGAGUAACCUGCCCUUGACUCUGGGAUAAGCGUUGGAAACGACGUCUAAUACCGGAUACGACGCGCGAAGGCAUCUUCUGCGCGUGGAAAGAAUUUCGGUCAAGGAUGGACUCGCGGCCUAUCAGCUAGUUGGUGAGGUAACGGCCCACCAAGGCGACGACGGGUAGCCGGCCUGAGAGGGUGACCGGCCACACUGGGACUGAGACACGGCCCAGACUCCUACGGGAGGCAGCAGUGGGGAAUAUUGCACAAUGGGCGCAAGCCUGAUGCAGCAACGCCGCGUGAGGGACGACGGCCUUCGGUGUAAACCGUCUUUUAGUAGGAAGAAGCGAAGUGACGGUACCUGCAGAAAAAGCACCGGCUAACGUACGUGCCAGCAGCCGC
This 479-nucleotide ribosomal RNA is filed under the name uncultured soil bacterium. Its description in RNAcentral is "bacterial SSU rRNA". It matches the Rfam family "Bacterial small subunit ribosomal RNA", at positions 26 to 518 of the family's 1533-position model. The record is from RNAcentral.